This is a non-coding RNA of Peromyscus maniculatus bairdii (prairie deer mouse), 650 nucleotides long. Lineage: Eukaryota; Metazoa; Chordata; Mammalia; Rodentia; Cricetidae. The record is from RefSeq and is a predicted model, not a curated record.
UAGCUAAGGAGAUGCCACAGCUGCUUCCCUGGCCUCAGAGAGUCACUUGGUUCCAGACCUGAUAGGUAAGAACGGUUUCUCAGCCCAGUCUCCCCUCUGAUUUGCUGUGUGGCCUUAAGCUAGUUUCUUGGGGUCUCUGUGCUUCAGUCGAUUCCUUGGUGAAUGAGAAGCUGGGCCUACCUUCACUGACACAGCCUGAGGUUCAACUCUGUCGUCCUCUGUGGGUCAUUCAAGGCCAAGCACAAGAUGGUGGUUAACACAGAGACCCGGAACUGACUACGGUGCAGAGAAUAUGAGACCAUGGGAUGUCCGGACUUUAACAGGACAUCUAUCUCACCCUCCUCCAAAGGCUUGGGGACCAUCACGGGGUAGGAGAUGGAAGACUGGAAAAGCAAAGUCAUGACGAACUGCUGUGUUCCAGGCACAGCAGGACGCUGCACACACGAACUCGCAGCAGCUGUGACAGCCUGCACAAGACCUGCACAAUCCCAGCCGAAGAGGGGAGACGGGCACUAAGCCCCACCUAGCCAAGGAGCUACUGACAACUGAUAGCUUCUGGGAGGGGGAGACAGUUCUCUGAGAGUUUGUCUCCUGGCAGCUCAACCUCCCUCUAGUGGAAGACCAGACACCCAAGAGUAUAUGAGACUUGA